GACGAACGCUGGCGGCGUGCUUAACACAUGCAAGUCGAACGAUGAAGAAGAGAGACGCGAACUUCGGCUCAAGUUUCACUUCGGAUUAGUGGCAGACGGGUGCGUACCGCGUGAGCAACCUACCCCUUACAAAAGGAUAGCCUCGGCAAACCGAGAUUAAUACCAUCUGACACAUUCAUAAGACAUCUUAAGAAUGUUAAGGCAACGGCGGUACGAGAUGGGCUCGCGUCCCAUUAGCUAGCUGGGGAGAUAACGGCCCAUCAAAGCGACGAUGGGUAAACGGGAUCAGAGAGUGAACGGUCACACUUGAAGUAGGAAGCGGUAGAAACUCCUACGGGAGGCAGGAGUGGGUGAUAGUGCACAACGGAGUGAAUUCUGAAGGAGCGCCGAUGGGUGAGCGAUGAAGGUAUUCAUUACGUAAUGCGCUGUUCUAUAUGAAGAAAAUGACGGUACCAUAGGAGAAAGCCCCGGCUAACUACGUG
This 482-nucleotide ribosomal RNA is filed under the name uncultured bacterium. Its description in RNAcentral is "partial 16S ribosomal RNA". It matches the Rfam family "Bacterial small subunit ribosomal RNA", at positions 28 to 507 of the family's 1533-position model. The record is from RNAcentral.